UCGUGCUACGUUCUUUGGAAG
This 21-nucleotide non-coding RNA is filed under the name Sclerotinia sclerotiorum. Lineage: Eukaryota; Fungi; Ascomycota; Leotiomycetes; Helotiales; Sclerotiniaceae. The record is from RNAcentral.